Panicum virgatum (switchgrass) is the source of this 1688-nucleotide RNA transcript. RefSeq lists it as uncharacterized. The record is from RefSeq and is a predicted model, not a curated record. NCBI's taxonomy places the organism in Eukaryota, Viridiplantae, Streptophyta, Magnoliopsida, Poales, Poaceae. The transcript is spliced from 9 exons.
GCUCCGGUGUUCCCCUGCCUUUUCAGUUCUGAUGAUGAAAAGAGGUGGUGGUAAAACUGAAACAUUCUUCUUCCCCAGCAAUCCAUAGCUCGGAGCCCCGGUUCUCUGCACAGCUCGUCCGUGUCCGUCCAGCCGCUGUGGAUGACGCUCGCAGCGAGCGCACUCUCGUGCCGCCUCCCACUCCCCACCAAAGGUUGGAAAUGGCAAAGCACGGUUGCUACAUGGAAACAUAAGCGUUCUGGCCGACAUAAUGCGGUCAUAACAUUUGCGACAAAGAGUACUAAAAGGGAAAGGAGAAAUUUUCAGAAGAAGUCAAAAGAUUCACUGUUGACAAGUGAUGAAGCUUCUUCAGGCGGUGGAGGAAGCGCCAGCACAAGCCUCAAGGUCAAUAGCGAGGAUGUUGCUGCUACUGAUGAUCAAAUUUCAGGUGCCCCAAGGACUGCUGUUCUUCAGGCAUACACUAUCACAUCAGGCUUGCUGCUUGCUGGAGGACUUCUGCUUCGCCAGGCAUCACACCUUGCAUCUUUAAAUGGAUGGCCAAUUUCUGAUCCUACAGAUGUUUCAUUCAAUUUUGAAACAUGGCAUCUCGAGUUGGUAGCAGGGCUUGUAAUAGUAAUCUCCUCUAGCAGAUACAUUCUGCUACAAACAUGGUCAGAUUUCAGAGAUUCCAGUGAAGCUGCAAAUACACAAAUCCUUAGUUCGCUAGAGCCUUUGGACUACAUUGUUGUUGCUUGUCUCCCUGGGAUAAGUGAGGAGUUGCUCUUUCCAGGGGCACUGAUGCCUAUCUUGGGAUUGAACUGGAUUAGUGCCCUUAUAAUCGGAACCAUUUUUGGUGUUCUUCACUUGGGCAAUGGCAGGAAAUAUUCAUUUGCGAUCUGGGCAACAUUUGUUGGCUUUGCCUAUGGUAUAGGAGCUAUAGCUUCCUCGAGCAUUAUAGUUCCAAUGGCUUCUCACUCCGUAAACAAUAUUAUUGGAGGUUUACUUUGGUGCUUUACCAAGAACUCACAAAAAUAAAUAUAUAAUACCCUCAGUAGUCAUCCCUGGAAGAUCUUGCACUAGUUUAGCCUCACCUUACUAGUUCUGUUGUUACUUAUAACUACUAGCGUUCCACUGUUGCUUCAUUCAUGUAUUUUCAGUAGCUUGUAGUAAUUUUCCAUGUUCUCGUUUGCCUACGACCAUAAGGAAAAUGAAGUUAAACAUCACCACUGACCUAUGGAAAACAAAAUGCAGGGUCAUGAGCAUUUAAAACUCAACCGUUGAGCCUUUAGCAGUAAAUUACUGACGAGUGUUGGUAAAAGCACAUAGAAUUUCAAAUGGAAACUAAGGAUCAGGAACAUGCAGGCCAUGUUUUGUUAAGCCCUUGCCAUGGGUUGCUUGCUACGAAUAUGCAAAGCUGUAAUGUUCUCUUCUGGGUGAUGAAGAAUGCUUUUAUGUAUGUAUAUAUAGGCCUGAUAGGAUUAGUUACUGCAUUGCAGCGGUACUAGCUAACUGUAUGUAUGAGCUGUCUUGAAACAUCACAACUUAUGGCCAGUGUAUGAUCCAAUUUUCAACUAUCCAAGCACCCAGCUUAUAAAAGGAUAUGAGAGGGCUUCCCUAGCCACUACACCUUAUAAUGAGCUAGCUGAGUGAGUUGUCCUAAGCUGUAGGUUGCACUUACACCUGCAAUUAAAAUUCAUAAUUCGCUGUUU